GGUAGCGUGGCCGAGCGGUCUAAGGCGCUGGUUUAAGGCACCAGUCUCUUCAAAAAGGCGUGGGUUCGAAUCCCACCGCUGCCA
Non-coding RNA from Caerostris darwini, 84 nucleotides. The record is from the annotation of a GenBank genome assembly. Lineage: Eukaryota; Metazoa; Arthropoda; Arachnida; Araneae; Araneidae.